This 477-nucleotide ribosomal RNA is filed under the name Veillonella parvula. Its description in RNAcentral is "bacterial SSU rRNA". It matches the Rfam family "Bacterial small subunit ribosomal RNA", at positions 28 to 474 of the family's 1533-position model. The record is from RNAcentral. Lineage: Bacteria; Bacillati; Bacillota; Negativicutes; Veillonellales; Veillonellaceae.
GACGAACGCUGGCGGCGUGCUUAACACAUGCAAGUCGAACGAAGAGCGAUGGAAGCUUGCUUCUAUCAAUCUUAGUGGCGAACGGGUGAGUAACGCGUAAUCAACCUGCCCUUCAGAGGGGGACAACAGUUGGAAACGACUGCUAAUACCGCAUACGAUCUAAUCUCGGCAUCGAGGAUAGAUGAAAGGUGGCCUCUACAUGUAAGCUAUCACUGAAGGAGGGGAUUGCGUCUGAUUAGCUAGUUGGAGGGGUAACGGCCCACCAAGGCGAUGAUCAGUAGCCGGUCUGAGAGGAUGAACGGCCACAUUGGGACUGAGACACGGCCCAGACUCCUACGGGAGGCAGCAGUGGGGAAUCUUCCGCAAUGGACGAAAGUCUGACGGAGCAACGCCGCGUGAGUGAUGACGGCCUUCGGGUUGUAAAGCUCUGUUAAUCGGGACGAAAGGCCUUCUUGCGAAUAGUGAGAAGGAGUGACG